AUGAAGGGAAAGGGAGGGGGGGGGGGAAGGGGACCCCCAGUCCCUGUCUACCCUCCUUAAACAGUUGGGUAGCCACCAGGAUAAACUCUGUAAUCUGAC
Long non-coding RNA from Bufo bufo (common toad), 99 nucleotides. RefSeq lists it as uncharacterized. The transcript has 3 exons. NCBI's taxonomy places the organism in Eukaryota, Metazoa, Chordata, Amphibia, Anura, Bufonidae. The record is from RefSeq and is a predicted model, not a curated record.